ACAAAGCUCUGAGGGGCCGAAACAAAAAUGUAGAUCAAAGUCCAACGAUCUUACUGGUUUAGAGCAGGUUUCCGAACAUCUGAUGGAUCAAAAUGCUCAAAAAUCCCCAUUUAUUUGAUGCUGCGGAGACUUGACUUUUUCAACACCAGUUCACUUGGCUCCAACGCCUCUUUUUCAGUUAUCUGCCUAUCUACCUGACUAUCUACCUAUCUAUCUAUCUACCUGCGCGAUAUCCGAUUGAUUGCUGAUGGAAUCACGAAUGCUAAAUCUGUCUAUCUGUCUAUCUCCUCCCUAUCUUUCAAC
Molecule: small RNA, 303 nt
Filed under: Histoplasma capsulatum var. duboisii H88
Lineage: Eukaryota; Fungi; Ascomycota; Eurotiomycetes; Onygenales; Ajellomycetaceae
Description: Histoplasma capsulatum H88 hypothetical RNA
Source: RNAcentral